UACAAAUAGUUGAUAGAGAUAAGUAGUUUAUUUGUUCGUCAUAGAGAGUUAAUGGUCGGUGCAAAUUAAUCGUAACAAUAAAUGAAAUCUACUCUGGAUAGGUGCUAAUCCCACCCGCUUAGAAAGCGUUAAAAUGAGAAGAGCCAGUAACCUACGUUAUUGGAAUUAAGGUGGUACCACGGAAAUACAUUCGUCCUUAGG
The sequence is a regulatory RNA element, 201 nucleotides long. It matches the Rfam family "T-box leader". From Rfam's summary of the family: Uncharged tRNA acts as the effector for transcription antitermination of genes in the T-box leader family. The record is from Rfam.